This 430-nucleotide ribosomal RNA is filed under the name uncultured bacterium. Its description in RNAcentral is "partial 16S ribosomal RNA". It matches the Rfam family "Bacterial small subunit ribosomal RNA", at positions 29 to 507 of the family's 1533-position model. The record is from RNAcentral.
AACGAACGCUGGCGGCAGGCUUAACACAUGCAAGUCGAGCGCCCCGCAAGGGGAGCGGCAGACGGGUGAGUAACGCGUGGGAACGUACCUUUUGGUUCGGAACAACUCCGGGAAACUGGAGCUAAUACCGGAUAAGCCCUAACGGGGAAAGAUUUAUCGCCGAAAGAUCGGCCCGCGUCUGAUUAGCUAGUUGGUGAGGUAACGGCUCACCAAGGCGACGAUCAGUAGCUGGUCUGAGAAGAUGAUCAGCCACACUGGGACUGAGACACGGCCCAGACUCCUACGGGAGGCAGCAGUGGGGAAUAUUGGACAAUGGGCGCAAGCCUGAUCCAGCCAUGCCGCGUGAGUGAUGAAGGCCUUAGGGUUGUAAAGCUCUUUGUCCGGGAAGAUAAUGACUGUACCGGAAGAAUAAGCCCCGGCUAACUUCGUG